RNAcentral lists this transfer RNA (74 nucleotides) under Sphaerobolus stellatus SS14. RNAcentral's name for it is "tRNA-Ile (AAT) (tRNA-Ile-AAT-28-1)". It matches the Rfam family "tRNA". Rfam says of the family: Transfer RNA (tRNA) molecules are approximately 80 nucleotides in length. Their secondary structure includes four short double-helical elements and three loops (D, anti-codon, and T loops). Lineage: Eukaryota; Fungi; Basidiomycota; Agaricomycetes; Geastrales; Sphaerobolaceae. The record is from Rfam by way of RNAcentral.
GGUCUAUCAGCUCAGUUCGUUAGAGCGUGGUACUAAUAAUGUCAAGGUCAUAGGUUCGACCCCUGUAUGAACCA